UACGGGGGGCAGCAGUGGGGAAUAUUGCACAAUGGGGGAAACCCUGAUGCAGCGAUGCCGCGUGGAGGAAGAAGGUGUCCGGAUUGUAAACUCCUUUUAUCAGGGACGAUAAUGACGGUACCUGCAGAAACAGCAUCGGCUAACCCCGGGCCAGCAGCCGCGGUAAUACGGAGGAUGCGAGCGUUAUCCGGAUUUAUUGGGUUAAAAGGGUGCGUAGGCGGAAUAUCAAGUCAGCGGUAAAAAGUCGGGGCUCAACCCCGUCGUGCCGUUGAAACUGAUGUUCUUGAGUGGGCGAGAAGUAUGCGGAAUGCGUGGUGUAGCGGUGAAAUGCAUAGAUAUCACGCAGAACUCCGAUUGCGAAGGCAGCAUACCGGCGCCCAACUGACGCUGAAGCACGAAAGCGUGGGUAUCGAACAGGAUUAGAUACCCUAGUAGUC
RNAcentral lists this ribosomal RNA (437 nucleotides) under uncultured bacterium. RNAcentral's name for it is "partial 16S ribosomal RNA". It matches the Rfam family "Bacterial small subunit ribosomal RNA", at positions 340 to 795 of the family's 1533-position model. The record is from RNAcentral.